GCUGUGAUUAAACAUGAAAAGAAACCAGCGGAGGCCAGCAAGACAAAUCCAUACAGACAGGAGUGGGUAGUGGUUUUGGUUGUUUUUCAGCCUGAUGGGGCCUUUCAGCUGAAUUUAGUGUUUCUGUGUUUGGGAAGGUGCCAAGACUGAAUAGCACAACUCAGCUGGGGAUGCAGAGGUAUCUAAGCCCUUGCCAUGUAAUUUAAAUGGUUGUUUGGACUUCAGCAAGUGACUGAGAUGCUGUCAAUUUGUGCUGAUUGGUUUUAAGGACGAAGAAAAAGCCAUUCACAGCCAAUGUAUAUGGUGGUGCAAAAACAAAAGCAAACACUGAUGGUACAAGGCUGGAGUUGCAAGAAACUCUUUUGUGAACUACUGGUAUGACUAAGGCUGUGAGAGAUCUCAGUCCAAUUUGGUCUGAUUCUUGUCUGUGUUUAUUGUGCUGCCUUUUGACUUCUUGGAGUGACUUGUGUGAGCAAGCAGGUAAUCAGAUAUUGCUAUUGGAGGUGGUUUCAUCCUGGUGCUGAGGUCCUUAGCUGAAGGUAGCCAAGCCCUCGACAGCUACUCCUGCCUCUGCUGUCUUCUGACUCCCUAGCAGAGGGUGGCACAAGCAGAACCCCUGGGAGCCUGAAUGGCUCUGAGGGGAGUGCAAUCCCAGGGCAUCGACACAUCCCAGAAACAUAUGUCAAUAGCAAUAGGCACUGUCUGCUCACCACAGGAGUGGCUGCAGCAUUUCUGUCCACUCUCGGCUCCUCACACAUGGCUGCCAAGUGCUGCUGGGACACCCAAGCUGUGCCUCUGAGAGAACAGAAGUGUUUCCUCCAGGGAAGACUGUGGCAGGGAUGCAUGAGUUUGCUCUUAGGACACUAAAACUUAUACAGCUGGAAAAAGAUUUCAAGAUCCAUCCCUGCACACUGGAACAAGAUGCUCCAUGUGAGCCAGGAUUUCUCCACAGCUGCCUUGGCCCUUCUGUCCUCUGUGGAAUGCCUGUGGCAAGAAAGCCAUACACGAAUUGAGCUUGCAGCAGCUCGUGGGGAAAGGGAACAUAUG
Long non-coding RNA from Pezoporus occidentalis (night parrot), 1047 nucleotides. RefSeq lists it as uncharacterized. The transcript has 3 exons. The record is from RefSeq and is a predicted model, not a curated record. Lineage: Eukaryota; Metazoa; Chordata; Aves; Psittaciformes; Psittacidae.